AAAUUGAAGAGUUUGAUCAUGGCUCAGAUUGAACGCUGGCGGCAGGCCUAACACAUGCAAGUCGAGCGGUAGCACAGAGAGCUUGCUCUCGGGUGACGAGCGGCGGACGGGUGAGUAAUGUCUGGGAAACUGCCUGAUGGAGGGGGAUAACUACUGGAAACGGUAGCUAAUACCGCAUAAUGUCGCAAGACCAAAGUGGGGGACCUUCGGGCCUCAUGCCAUCAGAUGUGCCCAGAUGGGAUUAGCUUGUAGGUGGGGUAACGGCUCACCUAGGCGACGAUCCCUAGCUGGUCUGAGAGGAUGACCAGCCACACUGGAACUGAGACACGGUCCAGACUCCUACGGGAGGCAGCAGUGGGGAAUAUUGCACAAUGGGCGCAAGCCUGAUGCAGCCAUGCCGCGUGUGUGAAGAAGGCCUUCGGGUUGUAAAGCACUUUCAGCGGGGAGGAAGGCGGU
This 456-nucleotide ribosomal RNA is filed under the name Klebsiella pneumoniae. RNAcentral describes it as "bacterial SSU rRNA". It matches the Rfam family "Bacterial small subunit ribosomal RNA", at positions 1 to 455 of the family's 1533-position model. The record is from RNAcentral. Lineage: Bacteria; Pseudomonadati; Pseudomonadota; Gammaproteobacteria; Enterobacterales; Enterobacteriaceae.